CCCUCUAGUCAGAUUCCUCAGGAUUCUAUGCUUGUCCUUUCCUCUUUACUCUGCACAGUGAAAAAGUAACUACACCAUCUCAUCUAUUCCCAAGUUUAUAAUCAAUGUUUAUAACCUAAUGGCGUUUGACUUUCUGUACAACUCACCCCUCUUUCUCUCUCAAGUUUCAUACUCAGAGGAACGCUUCCGAGUAUUUUCCCAGCUCACAGUGACCACUCCGGCAGGCCUCCUUGGCAACCACCUGUGUGUUGCACUCUGGCCUCCAGGCCACAGUUGGUUGAGGAAGGGGCAGUCAUGUGAUCCAGGCCAGAGUUCCUUUUUCUAUACAUUUGAAAUCUGGAGAGAGAAGGCAAAAGAUCAGCUGACUUUUCUUCUCCAGAGAGUAGACCUGUUAAAGGAAGAAGAAAGGAGGCUGGUUGUAGGAAGAAAUCUGGAGGCGGCAGUGUUAAACCAGCUGUUGGACUCCUACCCUGCAUCGAUGAUAGUUGGUCUCUAGUGUUCCUAUAUUUACUACCUUUCACUGCAUAAAAAUCAUCCCAAAACUUUGUGACUUAGAACACCAACAUCUUCACUGUCACCAGUUUCUGGGGGUCUGGAACUGGGACAUGGCUUAGUUGGAUUCCUCAGCUCACAGUGUCGCAAGAGGCUGCAGUCAAGAUGUCAGCAGAAACUGUAGUCAUCUCGAAGCUUGACCAGGGUAAGAUGUACUUCCAAGCUCCUUCCUAGGGCUGUUGAGAGGCCUCAGAUCCUGGCUGACUGCUGAAUGGAGGCAUCAAUUCUUUGCCAUGCAGGUCUCUGAAGAGUGCUACGCACAACAUGGCCGCUGGCUGGUGGCUACUCUCUGUUCCUUGCCACAUGGGUCUCUACACAGAACAGAUCACAACAUGGCAACCUGCUUCAUCAGAGAGAAGGCAAGAAAAACCAAAGACUGCAUGGGAGCAAAGGGCCUGCUCUUUUGUAACCCAAUCUCAGAAGCGACAUCCCAUCACUUUUGCUCUAUCUUGUUAGAAGCAAGUCAUUAUGCACAUCUCACACUCCAGGUAAAGGGAUUAGACAAGGGGGUGCACCCCAGAAGGCAAGGAUCAUCAAGAAUAAUGUGAGAAGCUGAUCUCCACAACUUCUUUAAAGAAGGCUCUUUUCCCUGCUGGUCUAGCCAAUCUUGAAUCUUAGCUUCAGGACCAGCUCUACCCAGAGUCACACCCACCAUGUGGGUGUGUCCAACAUCACUCACGUCAUAGUGGGAGAAAGAGACCUAGAACCCAAGACUCUGAAGUUCCUGAUCAGUCCUCUGUUUUCUCUCAUAUGUGUUUGGUUAGGACACCACUACAGGUACAUGGAGCCCCACAGUGCCAAGCAAACACAUCUUGACUUUAAAACACAGGCUUCAAGACUUGUAAACAGAAGAGUGCUAUGACAGAAGUGAUUUUUAAAGAAAGAUUAGUGUGAUGACUGUAAAAUGAAUUGGAGAGGGAAAGACUGGAAAUUACAUUAGUUCCAAUUUAUUUACACUUAGCAAAUUUAUGCUCUACAGUUUUGUAGUUUGUGACUAUAAAAACAACCCAUGUGUUUUCAUAAGUCUUAAUAAAAUG
This is a long non-coding RNA of Mustela putorius furo (domestic ferret), 1589 nucleotides long. NCBI's taxonomy places the organism in Eukaryota, Metazoa, Chordata, Mammalia, Carnivora, Mustelidae. The record is from Ensembl.